UAGCAAUACUGAGCGAAGCUAGUGGCGAACGGGUGCGUAACACAUGAGUCAUCUGCCCAGAAGUGGGGAAUAGCUCGGCGAAAGCCGGAUUAAUACCGCAUGUGGUCGUAAGACCAAAGCCGGGGCAACCUGGCGCUUUUGGAGGAGCUCGUGGCCUAUCAGCUAGUUGGUGAGGUAACGGCUUACCAAGGCAACGACGGGUAGCUGGUCUGAGAGGACGACCAGCCACACUGGAACUGAGAUACGGUCCAGACACCUACGGGUGGCAGCAGUCGAGAAUUUUUCUCAAUGGGGGAAACCCUGAAGGAGCGACGCCGCGUGGAGGAUGAAUGCUUUCGGGUUGUAAACUCCUGUCAUUUGGGAACAAGGCCUUACGUUAACUGCGUGGAGGAUUGAUAGUACCAGAAGAGGAAGAGACGGCUAACUCUGUGCCAGCAGCCGCGGUAAUACAGAGGUCUCGAGCGUUGUUCGGAUUCAUUGGGCGUAAAGGGCGCGUAGGCGGCGGGGUAAGUCUGGUGUGAAAUCUAGGAGCUCAACUCCUAAACUGCACUGGAUACUGCUCUGCUAGAGGACUGGAGAGGAGACUGGAAUUCACGGUGUAGCA
RNAcentral lists this ribosomal RNA (604 nucleotides) under uncultured Verrucomicrobiota bacterium. Its description in RNAcentral is "bacterial SSU rRNA". It matches the Rfam family "Bacterial small subunit ribosomal RNA", at positions 77 to 680 of the family's 1533-position model. Lineage: Bacteria; Pseudomonadati; Verrucomicrobiota. The record is from RNAcentral.